Long non-coding RNA from Cyprinus carpio (common carp), 905 nucleotides. The record is from Ensembl. NCBI's taxonomy places the organism in Eukaryota, Metazoa, Chordata, Actinopteri, Cypriniformes, Cyprinidae.
GGAUGGUGCUUAAUUUGCAAAUGUUUUGCAUGAAUUAAAAUUGCAACUUGAGAGCACAUGAUUAUUUACAGUAUUUAGUUUGCCAUUCUCUCCUAUUUGCAUAACAGAAAGAAGAUCACACAAAGGCCCUGAGCUGAGAGGAAUGAUCUGGUUGGGGUGCCCUCUGGGUGAUUUGUUUUGGCAAGAAGUACUUCUUUGACAUGUGUAUGUGGCCAUGGUGUGUCGGCUUGCGGAGGCCACAGGGUGAGGUGGUGUGAUGUAUUGAACAAGACUGACCUUGGGAAGGGUCUGGCUUUCACUCCACAAUUCUCUGACCCUGCUCUUUCCCCAACGCUGGCUGCCAUCAUAACGAGUGCACUGAAAAAUGACUGGAUGGUGCUCUACUCCUUUGUCUCUGUGGAUUCACAUUGCUUCCAGUGUCAGAGGAGCGGCCUCCCCUGAAGCGCUGCUGAGCAUGGAAGCCUGCUUGGCAAGUGGAGAUAGUGGCCGUGUUACAGCAGGGGGUUCACAGAGUCAGCAGUCUGGAGAGAACAAAGCAACAUGCCUUGGGUUCUGUGACCUGCCUGGCUACAGCAGACGUUUGUGCAGUCCCUGCUCAGAUGUAAACUAAAAGAAGUGGGAGAACCAGCCCAAAGGAUAUUUCUUAUUGUUUACUAGAGUUCUUCAGAGGUGAUAACUGCGGUGUGGGGGAAAACUAAUGAUCUGCCCUGCCAACUCUCUGGACCUUGACUCAUAUAGUAGAUGCAGUGCAGGAUACAUUUUUUCUGCUGAACAGAUGAUGUGUUGAGGUCAUGGGUUUUAGCUCUGUCUUAGCAGUCAGUUUAUGUCCUAAGCCGCCUUUGGCUUUUUAUGGCUUUUUUGGUAAUAAGCAGGAAAUAUAUUGCAAUGAUGACAAAAAGUAUGUG